GGGCCAAACUAGAAAUUAAGGUGGCUGCCCAUUCCUUGCUUCAGAACAUUUGAAGCCUAUCAAGAGGCGGCACCUUAUCACUGUCAAACACAUAUACUGAGAAGCUAAAGAAGCUGCAUAUUGGAUGGUCUCUUUUGUUACCCAUUGUGGAUUGAUGGUUCUCUUGCCCUAGGGGCAUUUCGGGACAGGUUAUAACUUGAUUUCUUUGGACAUAUUCAUACCAGAACAUUGUGAAUCACCCGAUUUAGAAAAAAAAAAAACUUUGAUGGUCAAAAGCCCGUUGCAUGGAUUGGAGGAGGAUGGUUCAUGGAACUAAUUUGAUUAGAUCAGCUUCUUAGCUAGAAUCUAGCAUUAUGUAAUGCAAUAGAUUUGAUGCAGUGUAUCUUUCCAUCACCAACCGGCACAUUCUCUCUCUAGUAACAGCUGUAGAGAUACAGCAUGAGGAUUUGGUCAACGACUCCAUGGGAGAAACAAUGUCGGCAUAUUUUGGUAGGUAAGUUGAGCUUUCAAAGUGUUUCCAUUCUCAUAUAAAGUUCACAGCAAUCGCUUUGCCUGUUGUUAGGUACUGUCAUCAACUUGCAU
This 582-nucleotide long non-coding RNA is filed under the name Phoenix dactylifera (date palm). Its description in RNAcentral is "long non-coding RNA (PDAC_LNC007704)". The record is from RNAcentral. Lineage: Eukaryota; Viridiplantae; Streptophyta; Magnoliopsida; Arecales; Arecaceae.